This 253-nucleotide ribosomal RNA is filed under the name uncultured bacterium. RNAcentral describes it as "partial 16S ribosomal RNA". It matches the Rfam family "Bacterial small subunit ribosomal RNA", at positions 524 to 776 of the family's 1533-position model. The record is from RNAcentral.
UACGUAGGGCGCAAGCGUUGUCCGGAAUUAUUGGGCGUAAAGAGCUCGUAGGUGGCUUGUCGCGUCGGGUGUGAGAGCUUGGGGCUUAACUCCAGGUCUGCAUUCGAUACGGGCUGGCUAGAGGUAGGUAGGGGAGAACGGAAUUCCUGGUGUAGCGGUGAAAUGCGCAGAUAUCAGGAGGAACACCGGUGGCGAAGGCGGUUCUCUGGGCCUUACCUGGCGCUGAGGAGCGAAAGCGUGGGGAGCGAACAGG